RNAcentral lists this long non-coding RNA (278 nucleotides) under Mytilus galloprovincialis (Mediterranean mussel). The record is from RNAcentral. Lineage: Eukaryota; Metazoa; Mollusca; Bivalvia; Mytilida; Mytilidae.
AAUUUUCAAAAUGGCUGCCAUUGCCAUGGAAACGGUAUAAAUGUGAAAUACUUUAAAAUGCUCUGAAUAUACUGAAAAUUUACAAAAAGAUGAAUAGCCAUGCAUAUUUGUGCAUUUACUGUUAAACAAGUUUGAAGUGGCUGCCGCUUAGUGGCAAUAGGGGGAAGGGUGACAUCCGCUAUUGCUUGCAAUGGCAAUUCUAGUUAUUCUUCUUCUUCCUCUUCUUCCUCUUCUUCCUCUUCUUCUUCCGCCACUUUAAAAAUGAACUUGUCCGCAGC